CAGGGCGCAGUUUAGGCAGAAUCUUG
RNAcentral lists this transfer RNA (26 nucleotides) under Carcharhinus falciformis (silky shark). RNAcentral describes it as "partial tRNA-Pro". The record is from RNAcentral. Lineage: Eukaryota; Metazoa; Chordata; Chondrichthyes; Carcharhiniformes; Carcharhinidae.